This 468-nucleotide ribosomal RNA is filed under the name uncultured bacterium. RNAcentral describes it as "partial 16S ribosomal RNA". It matches the Rfam family "Bacterial small subunit ribosomal RNA", at positions 28 to 507 of the family's 1533-position model. The record is from RNAcentral.
GACGAACGCUGGCGGCGUGCUUAACACAUGCCAGUCGAACGGAAAGGCCCUGCUUUUGUGGGGUGCUCGAGUGGCGAACGGGUGAGUAACACGUGAGUAACCUGCCCUUGACUUUGGGAUAACUUCAGGAAACUGGGGCUAAUACCGGAUAGGAGCUCCUGCUGCAUGGUGGGGGUUGGAAAGUUUCGGCGGUUGGGGAUGGACUCGCGGCUUAUCAGCUUGUUGGUGGGGUAGUGGCUUACCAAGGCUUUGACGGGUAGCCGGCCUGAGAGGGUGACCGGCCACAUUGGGACUGAGAUACGGCGCAGACUCCUACGGGAGGCAGCAGUGGAGAAUAUUGCACAAUGGGCGGAAGCCUGAUGCAGCAACGCCGCGUGCGGGAUGACGGCCUUCGGGUUGUAAACCGCUUUCGCCUGUGACGAAGCGUGAGUGACGGUAAUGGGUAAAGAAGCACCGGCUAACUACGUG